Molecule: non-coding RNA, 22 nt
Filed under: Mus musculus (house mouse)
Lineage: Eukaryota; Metazoa; Chordata; Mammalia; Rodentia; Muridae
Source: RNAcentral
UAAGGAAGCUGGGAGUGUGUGG